Molecule: long non-coding RNA, 1675 nt
Filed under: Mytilus galloprovincialis (Mediterranean mussel)
Lineage: Eukaryota; Metazoa; Mollusca; Bivalvia; Mytilida; Mytilidae
Source: RNAcentral
GAAACCAAAAUAAGCUUCCUAAAACACGAGAAAAUAUUACUCCGAUCAGUAAUAUAUCACAAGAAAUAUUCAAGUUGAACAUUUGCAGUAAUGGCAUUGAGAAAGAUAACGAAGUACACAUUGAUGAGGUUAUUAAUGAUUGUGAAUCUGAUAUUGAGAUAUUAUCUACAGCAGAAUGUUUUUAUGAUUUUAUACCCUUGAAUACACUUUUAAAGAAGAAGCUUUGUAAAAUUGUGAAUAUACCAAGCAAAAAAAUAUCCAAACAGAAUUCUUCAAAUUGUUAUAACAUAGGCCAACCAACUGCUUGCAAAACUAUCACAGGUGAUGGAAAUUGUCUAUUUCGAGCCAUUUCAUAUUCACUAUCUAAUAGACAAGAAUAUUUUGGAGACAUACGAAAGGCAAUAGUUGAUCAUUUGUUAAGAAAUGCAGAAGUUUUCAAGUCAUUUUUACAGCCAAGAUUUAAAACUGUAGAAGAGCAUAUACAAACUCUCAGAAUGGAAGAAAAUAAUGUAUGGGGAACUGAACUGGAAAUAGUAGCUUGUGCUGACCUCCUUAAAACAGACAUUUAUACUUUUUAUAACAACUCAUGGAUUAAAUAUUUUUCUUCUCAAAUAUGUAGCAACAAUUUUGUUAAUGAUCAAGCAAUUUAUCUUCAACAUAAUGGAGAUAUCAAUCAUUAUGAAGUUGUCACAGCUGUAAAACAAAAGACUAUAGCUAUGUCACCAAAUGGAUUACAAUCUAGACAAGAACAUGAGAAAAAGUAUGAAAUUUCAAGGAAAUCUGAGGUAACAACAAAAAAAAUGAAAAUUGAUGAAGACCAGAUGAAUGACUUCCUCAACAAUACUGAAUCAAAAGUGUUAAAAAAUGAAAAAGAAAGGAUCAGGUACAUGACAGAUGAUAAAUUUAGAGCUAGAAAGAUAGACGCAUCAAAAAGAAAAUAUCAGGAGAAUGAAGGAAUACGUUCAAAAAAAAUAUGUUCAGGUAUUAAAAAAUAUGAAGAAAAUGAAACAUACAGAGAGAAUUUAAAACAAGCAGGAAUUGAGAAAUAUAAUGAAGACAAUGAGUACAGGGAAAAGCUGAAACAAGCAAGUGUACACAAGUAUAAAGCAGAUGAAAAGCACAAUGAACAUGUGAAACAAGCAAGUAUACACAAGUAUAAAACAGAUGAAAAGCACAAUGAACAUGUGAAACAAGCAAGUAUACACAAGUAUAAAACAGAUGAAAAGCACAAGGAUCAUGUGAAACAAGAAAGUAUACACAAGUAUAAAGCAGAUGAAAAGCACAAGAAACAUGUGAAAAAAGCAAGUAUACUCAAGUAUGCAAAUGAUGAUGCACACAGAAUUAAGAUUAAACAACAAACAUCAGUACGUCGUGAAAGUCUUCAGGUAGAAAACAAGCAAAUAACUGAGGUAAUAAGAAAAUUUAAAGAUGAAGUUAAAAAAGGUCCAGAAUGUGUUUGUGCUUGUUGUUUGAGACUGUUUUUUGAAAAACAGGUUCAGAUCUGCAAGAAAGAAUCUUACGAUAAUUCUAUAUUUGAUUCAGUUACAACAAAUAAAUAUGAACACAAAUGCACAGAUAAUUGUAAGACAAAUUGUGCCUUUGAAGGAACAUGUAGAACAAGUCUAUGGAUCUGUUAUACUUGCCAUCGUAAAAUGUUGAAAGGUAAAAUACCUGC